GAGGAGGGAAGCUCAUCAGUCAGCAGGCCUUGCAGAGUGUGUGUCCCUCCCAGGCCCUGGGAAGGUCUGAGAGAGGCCCUUGCAUAGCCCUAAGAGAAGCUCUUGGAGCAGGGAGCCGAGCUUCCAGAAACCAGGGCUUGAAGAGAGGGUGAGCCAACUGGGCAGGAGAGACAAUGGACACAGAGAAUGUACCCCACACUGGAGCUUCAAACUGGCUCACUGCCAGCAACAGCUGAGGAGAGGCAUCUCAAAGGCCUCAUAACCCAAUUCAGAAUGUUUCCCUUGCCUU
Molecule: ribozyme, 289 nt
Organism: Cricetulus griseus (Chinese hamster)
Lineage: Eukaryota; Metazoa; Chordata; Mammalia; Rodentia; Cricetidae
Rfam family: Nuclear RNase P
About the family: Ribonuclease P (RNase P) is a ubiquitous endoribonuclease, found in archaea, bacteria and eukarya as well as chloroplasts and mitochondria. Its best characterised activity is the generation of mature 5'-ends of tRNAs by cleaving the 5'-leader elements of precursor-tRNAs.
Source: Ensembl